GGAAACUGCCUGAUGGAGGGGGAUAACUACUGGAAACGGUAGCUAAUACCGCAUAACGUCGCAAGACCAAAGAGGGGGACCUUCGGGCCUCUUGCCAUCAGAUGUGCCCAGAUGGGAUUAGCUAGUAGGUGGGGUAAUGGCUCACCUAGGCGACGAUCCCUAGCUGGUCUGAGAGGAUGACCAGCCACACUGGAACUGAGACACGGUCCAGACUCCUACGGGAGGCAGCAGUGGGGAAUAUUGCACAAUGGGCGCAAGCCUGAUGCAGCCAUGCCGCGUGUGUGAAGAAGGCCUUCGGGUUGUAAAGCACUUUCAGCGAGGAGGAAGGUGGUGAGCUUAAUACGCUCAUCAAUUGACGUUACUCGCAGAAGAAGCACCGGCUAACUCCGUGCCAGCAGCCGCGGUAAUACGGAGGGUGCAAGCGUUAAUCGGAAUUACUGGGCGUAAAGCGCACGCAGGCGGUUUGUUAAGUCAGAUGUGAAAUCCCCGGGCUCAACCUGGGAACUGCAUUUGAAACUGGCAAGCUAGAGUCUCGUAGAGGGGGGUAGAAUUCCAGGUGUAGCGGUGAAAUGCGUAGAGAUCUGGAGGAAUACCGGUGGCGAAGGCGGCCCCCUGGACGAAGACUGACGCUCAGGUGCGAAAGCGUGGGG
Molecule: ribosomal RNA, 650 nt
Filed under: Serratia marcescens
Lineage: Bacteria; Pseudomonadati; Pseudomonadota; Gammaproteobacteria; Enterobacterales; Yersiniaceae
Description: bacterial SSU rRNA
Rfam family: Bacterial small subunit ribosomal RNA
Source: RNAcentral